GAUUCUCCAGCCUCAGACUGACAAAGCAUUUGAGACUACCUUCAUGAAAAAUGCAAGAAUGAAUUGAAAUCUGUUUGCACUCUUUCCGAAUCCACUGAUUGCAAUUUCUCUCUUGGAACCAUCAAAAUAUGUGAACUCUGUGACUAUCGCUAUUUUUCCAGCUUCCAGUUGUUCCAAGAUUAUUAUCUCUUCUGAGCAGCUCAGCUUUCCUCAACUAAGAGGUUCAAAAGAAUCCUGGAAUUGAGUCUCACUGAAUUAUGACAGGUAUCUUCUGCUGAUGAAUUGACAAUGAAAUGCCUGAUUCUCUAAGGGUACCAUUGGGAAGAAACAGAGCAAUUUGUUUGCCAGCAUUAUUUUCUAAAUAAAAGUGCAAGAUACUAAGUUGGCUGAUCUUAAGGGAAGAAUAAUCAUCCUUUUAUUUCAUACGGUUUUUAACUUUCAAGUCAGCUAUGCCUAAAUUUCAAUCAACAUGGAUGAGAGUUAUUUGAGUGAAUUGUCUGAUACAAACAUCUGUUUAUCUCAUGAAGCCAGCAAAGUGAUCCUGUGCAGCGUUUAUGUAAGUUCUGCAGUAAAGCAGGUAGGUAAGAAGGUUACUGAAAACAAUGACAGAAACACCAUAGCAUCACCACAAAUCCAUGCUGAGGACCGUUUAUAUUGCAGGACUUGAAAGUACAUUAGUAGGACAGUAAAACAGUCAUGACCACAAGAAGCUGACACUCUGAGAUGACUGAAGAAAUAAAAGCAGGACAGAAUGUGGCCAACUCAGUAGAAUCUACUCUGCUUCAGGAAAUCAUAGAAUAAACUCUUGGACAAACUU
Molecule: long non-coding RNA, 817 nt
Organism: Canis lupus familiaris (dog)
Lineage: Eukaryota; Metazoa; Chordata; Mammalia; Carnivora; Canidae
Exons: 5
Source: RefSeq, a predicted model, not a curated record